UACGUAGGUCCCGAGCGUUGUCCGGAUUUAUUGGGCGUAAAGCGAGCGCAGGUGGUUUAUUAAGUCUGGUGUAAAAGGCAGUGGCUCAACCAUUGUAUGCAUUGGAAACUGGUAGACUUGAGUGCAGGAGAGGAGAGUGGAAUUCCAUGUGUAGUGGUGGAAUGCGUAGAUAUUAGGAGGAACAUCAGUGGCGAAGGCGACUUUCUGGACUGUAACUGACGCUGAGGCACGAAAGUGUGGGGAGCAAACAGG
This 252-nucleotide ribosomal RNA is filed under the name uncultured bacterium. Its description in RNAcentral is "partial 16S ribosomal RNA". It matches the Rfam family "Bacterial small subunit ribosomal RNA", at positions 524 to 776 of the family's 1533-position model. The record is from RNAcentral.